CACCCGUGUCUAUCGUACCUUGUUGCUUCGGCGGGCCCGCCGUUUCGACGGCCGCCGGGGAGGCCCUGCGCCCCCGGGCCCGCGCCCGCCGAAGACCCCAACAUGAACGCUGUUCUGAAAGUAUGCAGUCUGAGUUGAUUAUCGUAAUCAGUUAAAACUUUCAACAACGGAUCUCUUGGUUCCGGCAUCGAUGAAGAACGCAGCGAAAUGCGAUAAGUAAUGUGAAUUGCAGAAUUCAGUGAAUCAUCGAGUCUUUGAACGCACAUUGCGCCCCCUGGUAUUCCGGGGGGCAUGCCUGUCCGAGCGUCAUUGCUGCCCUCAAGCACGGCUUGUGUGUUGGGCCCCCGUCCCCCUCUCCCGGGGGACGGGCCCGAAAGGCAGCGGCGGCACCGCGUCCGGUCCUCGAGCGUAUGGGGCUUUGUCACCUGCUCUGUAGGCCCGGCCGGCGCCAGCCGACACCCAACUUUAUUUUUCUAAGGUUGACCUCGGAUCAGGUAGGGAUACCCGCUGAACUUAAGCAUAUCAUA
Molecule: ribosomal RNA, 527 nt
Filed under: Aspergillus sp. EFL11
Lineage: Eukaryota; Fungi; Ascomycota; Eurotiomycetes; Eurotiales; Aspergillaceae
Description: eukaryotic LSU rRNA
Rfam family: 5.8S ribosomal RNA (bases 156-309)
Source: RNAcentral